AUGUUGGGGCCCCCAGGGGCGUGUGGCUUGCGCAAGUUUCCACUUGGCCUUGACUUGUCUUUUCGGAGAUUUAUCACACGGUGGAGACCCAUUGUGUCCGGGAGUGGAAAUCAGGAAGGCAGGACGUCUGUCAUCUUCCCACUUGGAUUUGAGGACUCUUGUCUUUCCUGGGGACACGUGAUUGGAUUACUUCAUCCAGCUUGCUCAGCCUCUGCUCUUCUGGGGAAAGAAGUUGUGACACAGGAUUUCCAUCAUUUCUCUAUCACAGUUGCCUCAGGAAGCGGGGAAGGAGGGGGAGCAGCGCUGUGGCCAGAACAUAACCUGAUGACCCCCUUGUGUCUCAGAUCAUCGGGCACUGGGACUAGUGGAGGCUGUCCUUGUAGCACUUGGCGCAGAACCAAGAGGAACACCGUUUCUGCCCUGGCUCUGACACAGCCAGCAUUUGGCCAGGUGCCUACUGUAUGCAUCAGGUACUGCCCUUAGCACUUUCCCCAUGUUAACUCAUUCCAACCUUCACAAUGACCCUGUGAGGUAAAGACUUACUACCGAGGUGUUGUUAGACCCACAACCUGAACUGUCACCCCAGAGAAGAGAAGACUGAGCUGAGCCAGAGCUGGUAGAACCAAGACCACAGUGCUCUGAAGCUUUAACAUGGUCUGGCUGACCCCAGGACUGACCUUCCCCCUGCCUCAUCUCCAUUCAGCUGCCUUGAUAUCUUGAGCUGAGAAGGAGGUGUGUGUUCAGGAUCUCAGUGGCAUCCUACACUGUGUAACAAGUGAAUGUGUGAGUAUGAACACACCGCAUAGGAAAAGGGAGAGAAGCCAGGAGCUCACGCUGGAUCUGAUCAUGUCAGGACAACUGAUUGAAAAAAAUCAGUCAGUGAUUUAGGUAUGGGACUCUGAACCACUGGUUUUGUUUCCACCCUUUGUUCUUCUCCAAAUAGAAUGAUUUUAUCUUGCUAAUAUUAAUAGGUAACCAGCUAUAAUGUUGUCCAGGCAGUGUGCUAAGUUUUUAAGUUGCGUUCUCAUCAAAUCCUUGCAGCAAUUCUACCAGGCAAUGUCUUCAUUGUACAAAGGAGAAAACGAAGGCUUAAAGAGUUAAGUACUUGUACAAAUAGCAGCUGGAUAUUUGAAUUCUGACACAUCUCUCCAGAGGCCACGCUCUCAGACUACACUAACUGUCCCCCACCUAGAUUCUUUUCCUGCACUUCUCUGUGUGCUGAGAAAUGGUGGUCAUGGAACCAGUGCUAGCCGGGAGGGCAUCUCAUGUGUGUAAGCCAUUGCCCCAGUGGUGGGCUUGCAGAGAAAGGACUGGAUACCCAGUGUCAUGUCUACUCAACAGCCAUGCAAGACUGGGUUCUUGAAGCUACAGCUCUUCACUGAUUCCUUGAGCAUCCAUGUGACUCUAGAGUUUAAUUAUGCAAGUGCAAGCUUUGCGCUCAAAUACAUGUGCAGUGUAAUUAGAGGAUAGCUGAUGCCUGAUUCACUGGCCUUACAAAUCUGUAGCUGCCCAGAUUUCAACUGUCAAUACAUGCUGAAGUCCUUUUCGGAUCAAAUUUAAGUUCAGAUAAAGAGUAUGUGCUGGGGACACAAUAAAUAUUUGGAAGGAAGAAAAGAUGGAAGGAAAGAAGUAAGGAAGGAGGAAAGGUAGGGUGGAAGGAUCCUCCAAACAGCUGGGUCCUCUGUAGCCUCACAAGGUUGGCAAGAUAAAUCACAGCUCAGCAUAAAGCCUAUGUCAGUGUUUGAUGUUUAAAAAGUGGGGAGGAGAGGCUCAGCCCACAGCCUCUGUGGACAGGUUUUCUUUCAUCUGCUUUCUAGCCAAAGGAUGUGAAGACAAGCUACAGAAACUGAUGGGUUGCAGCUGAGAUAGGUCAGAUUUUCACUCUAGCUCCCUGAACUGGCCACAGGGCCCCUUCGUUCUCUGAUUUCCAUCGUUCCUCUUUCCUCUGAUGGCUGACUCUCCCCACUGUCACUGCAUCUGACUCUUACUGCCUCCUCAGCACCUGCGGCCCCAUCUCCUCCAAGCUCUGAACUGCACAGGCAUCUUCUGAGAUACAGCCAUGUUUCGGUGCCCAGCCGGCUCUUCCUGCAGGUCUUCCUGCUUUCCUGAUGUCCCUCAGCUCACAACCUCUCUUUUCUAGCAGAGCAUAGACAGGAGCUCAUUUCUGGGUGCCUGGUCAUCAUUUCCUUCUUUAGUUCCAUUUUACAAACCCAGCUGUUGUAUGAAAAACAGGGCAUGCUAACCCUGUCUUCCAUCCACUAGGGCGGAGCUGACAGUUAAAACAAGGCUCUUUCCCAGCAAUUAGACCUCCAUUUCUCAGAAGAGGAAAGAGGGGAAGGGUGAACACACAGAAGGGCUCAUUUUCUGUUUGUCAAAGGAAUAAAUGGAUUAAGGAUCCUUGCAUUUCAAGAUUUCAGAGAUGGAGUCUUUGUAAGACAGUGAGUGCUGACUGAGAGGGAGCUGCACCCCAAUCACAGGGCCACGCACCCAGGGACAGUUUGCACCUAUGUGGAUUGUUUCCCAGCCAAAUGAUAUUCUGACCAUUAACUCAGGCAUUUGGGAUUCCCCAGAGAAACCAGAGUAGCAUCACUUGGGGGACUUUAUUUUUAAAAAUAAAAAUUCAAUUCCUUAAAUAGGCAUUUGGUGAGUUCAUGUUUUUUUAGUGAAACAUGUUGGUAAGAGAUGCAAUAUUUUAAACAGGAAAGACAGUAUGAUAAAAGCAUUCUUGAGCAAGGUGUGGUGGCUCACAUCUGUAAUCCCAACACUUUGGGAGGCCAAGGUGGACAGAUUACUUGAGGUCAGCAUUUCGAGACCAGCCUGGCCAACAUGGCACAACACCAUCUCUACCAAAAAAAAAAAUUAGCUGGGACUGGUGGCGCACGCCUGUAAUCCCAGCUACUUGGGUGGCUGAGGCACGAGAAUUGCUUGAACUUGGGAGGUGGAGGUUACAGUGAGCUGAGAUCAUGCCCCUGCACUCCUGCCUGGGCAACAGAGAGAGACUCUGUCUCAAAAAAAAAAAAAAAAGCAUUCUUAUUUUUGUUUUAACUCAAAUAACCCACUGGCCCACAUGCGUCAAAUGCUACAUAGUUAAACAUCACAAGUACCUAUUCUGCAUAAAAUUUUUACUUACAUAUGCAUCAUAAACAUUUUGCUAUGUUGCUACAAAGACUUUAUGAGCUUAUUUCAAGGACUAUUGGUAGUUUUCCACUAGGUUGAUGCAGCAUCAGGCAUUAAAAUGCUCCCCAGGUGCUGGGUAUUUAGCAAUAACACCACUCCCCACCAAAGAGGCUUGUGUUCCCAAAAUUAAAGCUCUUAGUUCUUUCUGAGAGCAGUUUUAAACUGCCCCCUGGUAUGGCUACUGCACAGACCAUAUUCCCCUUUAAUCACAUGCCUUGGUGCAGGGUACACAUCUAUUAACCACUUUCCCCUUGUGGAAACGCUCCCCCAGGGGAGUCAUUCCCUUGCCCAACCUCAAAGAGAGCCUUGAUCUCAGCCGCUCUGACAGCUUCAGUCGCUUUACGUUUCAGGAAACUGAGUAUCUGUUCUAAUCUCUUUGCUCUCUAAAAGCUUCUGGGGUCCUAAUGCAACUUUUAUCACCCCUAGUUUAACACAUUGUAAGCCCACAUCAAUAAUUUCUCAAACAGAAGCACACAAAUAAUGUUUAUCUUACCAAACACCCUCCCAAGCUUCUUGAGAAUUGCCAGGUCAGAAGCUGAGGACACAUUUACAGAUUUUUGCUAAAUAUUCCUAUUACUCCUUUCCAAAUACUUUCCAAACAGUGUAUCUAUCCAUUUAGUUACUAGCUAUAAACAAAGGUACAGUCAGUCCUCACUUAAGGUUGUCAAUAGGUUCUUGCAAUCUGAAACUAAGUGACACCAAUUUUACCACAAGCGAAUUAAUAUUUCUAUGGUUUAUUUCUAGUCACAAAUACAUCAAACUUCUAAAUAAAAACCAAAGGCCGGCCGCUCAAGCCUGUAAUCCCAGCACUUUGGGAGGCCGAGGCAGGUGAAUCAUGAGGUCAGGAGUUCAAGACCAGCCUGACCAACAUGGUGAAACCCUGUCUCUACUAAAAAUACAAAAAUUAGCCAAACAUGGUGGCACAUGACUGUAGUCCUAACUAUUCAGGAGGCUGAGGCAGGAGAAUCACUUGAACCCAGGAGGCAAAGGUUGCAGUGAGCCAUGAUCGUGCCACUGCACUCCAGCCUGGGCAACAGAGCAAGAUUCCAUCUCCCAAAAAAAAAAAAAACCCAAAACACAUCUGAUAUUAACCAUUGAAAUAAAUAAUAGCUAUACAUACAUUUAAGAAAGAUAAAUAAAAGCAAGUAAGAUAACUUACUCAAUAAUAACAGUUCUCCAGGUUGCCAGAGUCUCCAGUCUCCAGUUGGUGUAGCUCAUUCCAGCAGCUCAAGGCUUAAGGUGAGAACCAGCCCUGAACAGGACACUGUCCCAUGGCAGGGCACAUUCACACACACCCCACACUCACACCAGGACCAUGUAGACACACUGGGGAACCGAACAUGCACAUCUUUGAGGGGUGGGAGAAAACCAGAGCACCUGGAGCAAAAUCCCUGUGGAUGUGGGGAGAGCAUGCAAACCACACAGACAGUGGCCCUGGCAGAGAAUCAAUUUUUUUCUCAUCAUUUAAAAAAAAAAAAAAAAAAAAAAAGGUUGAAUAAAAUGACAUUAUUUGAAGACCUGUUUUCAUUGUUAUGCUACAGACACGAUUGUUUUUGUUUUUGGUAACUAUCAUAUGGCAUCUCAAGCUUUGAGUUUCUUUGACUGCUAGCUAGGGUCAACUUUUUCUCCUGUGUUUGUCAUCUUCCUUC
This is a long non-coding RNA of Macaca mulatta (Rhesus monkey), 4826 nucleotides long. The record is from Ensembl. NCBI's taxonomy places the organism in Eukaryota, Metazoa, Chordata, Mammalia, Primates, Cercopithecidae.